Molecule: ribosomal RNA, 409 nt
Filed under: bacterium
Lineage: Bacteria
Description: partial 16S ribosomal RNA
Rfam family: Bacterial small subunit ribosomal RNA
Source: RNAcentral
UGGGGAAUAUUGCACAAUGGGCGAAAGCCUGAUGCAGCGACGCCGCGUGAGGGAUGACGGCCUUCGGGUUGUAAACCUCUUUCAGUAGGGACGAAGCGCAAGUGACGGUACCUGCAGAAGAAGCACCGGCUAACUACGUGCCAGCAGCCGCGGUAAUACGUAGGGUGCGAGCGUUGUCCGGAAUUACUGGGCGUAAAGAGCUCGUAGGCGGUUUGUCACGUCGUCUGUGAAAUCCUAGGGCUUAACCCUGGACGUGCAGGCGAUACGGGCUGACUUGAGUACUACAGGGGAGACUGGAAUUUCUGGUGUAGCGGUGGAAUGCACAGAUAUCAGGAAGAACACCGAUGGCGAAGGCAGGUCUCUGGGUAGUAACUGACACUGAGGAGCGAAAGCAUGGGUAGCGAACAGG